UCUCCGUUGGUGAACCAGCGGAGGGAUCAUUGCUGGAACGCGCUUCGGCGCACCCAGAAACCCUUUGUGAACUUAUACCUAUUGUUGCCUCGGCGCAGGCCGGCCUUUUGUGACAAAGGCCCCCUGGAGACAGGGAGCAGCCCGCCGGCGGCCAACCAAACUCUUGUUUCUACAGUGAAUCUCUGAGUACAAAACAUAAAUGAAUCAAAACUUUCAACAACGGAUCUCUUGGUUCUGGCAUCGAUGAAGAACGCAGC
RNAcentral lists this unclassified non-coding RNA (257 nucleotides) under uncultured fungus. Its description in RNAcentral is "sequence contains ITS1, 5.8S rRNA gene". The stretch from base 209 to 257 matches the Rfam family "5.8S ribosomal RNA", at positions 1 to 49 of the family's 154-position model. The record is from RNAcentral. Lineage: Eukaryota; Fungi.